This 323-nucleotide unclassified non-coding RNA is filed under the name soil metagenome. RNAcentral's name for it is "partial contains 5.8S ribosomal RNA, internal transcribed spacer 2, and large subunit ribosomal RNA". The stretch from base 1 to 120 matches the Rfam family "5.8S ribosomal RNA", at positions 35 to 154 of the family's 154-position model. The record is from RNAcentral.
GAUGAAGAACGCAGCGAAAUGCGAUAAGUAAUGCGAAUUGCAGAAUUCAGUGAGUCAUCGAAUCUUUGAACGCACAUUGCGCCCUGUGGUAUUCCGCAGGGCAUGCCUGUUCGAGCGUCAUUUCAACCCUCAAGCUCUGCUUGGUGUUGGGCCCUGCCCGCUGCGGCCGGCCCUAAAGACAGUGGCGGUGCCGCCUGGCCCUGAGCGUAGUACAUCUCUCGCUCCAGUGCCCGGUGGUAGCCUGCCAGAACCCCAACUCUCGUGGUUGACCUCGGAUCAGGUAGGGAUACCCGCUGAACUCAAGCAUAUCAAUAAGCGGAGGA